This 694-nucleotide ribosomal RNA is filed under the name uncultured Bacteroidales bacterium. RNAcentral's name for it is "bacterial SSU rRNA". It matches the Rfam family "Bacterial small subunit ribosomal RNA", at positions 32 to 715 of the family's 1533-position model. Lineage: Bacteria; Pseudomonadati; Bacteroidota; Bacteroidia; Bacteroidales. The record is from RNAcentral.
AACGCUAGCUACAGGCUUAACACAUGCAAGUCGAGGGGCAGCAUGAUUGAAGCUUGCUUCAAUUGAUGGCGACCGGCGCACGGGUGAGUAACACGUAUCCAACCUUCCGUACACUCAGGGAUAGCCUUUCGAAAGAAAGAUUAAUACCUGAUGGUAUCUUAAGCACGCAUGUAAUUAAGAUUAAAGAUUUAUUGGUGUACGAUGGGGAUGCGUUCCAUUAGGUAGUAGGCGGGGUAACGGCCCACCUAGCCUACGAUGGAUAGGGGUUCUGAGAGGAAGGUCCCCCACAUUGGAACUGAGACACGGUCCAAACUCCUACGGGAGGCAGCAGUGAGGAAUAUUGGUCAAUGGACGAGAGUCUGAACCAGCCAAGUAGCGUGAAGGAUGAAGGUCCUACGGAUUGUAAACUUCUUUUAUAAGGGAAUAAAACCUCCCACGUGUGGGAGCUUGUAUGUACCUUAUGAAUAAGCAUCGGCUAACUCCGUGCCAGCAGCCGCGGUAAUACGGAGGAUGCAAGCGUUAUCCGGAUUUAUUGGGUUUAAAGGGAGCGCAGACGGGUCGUUAAGUCGGCUGUGAAAGUUUGGGGCUCAACCUUAAAAUUGCAGUUGAUACUGGCGUCCUUGAGUGCGGUUGAGGUGUGCGGAAUUCGUGGUGUAGCGGUGAAAUGCUUAGAUAUCACGAAGAACUCCGAUUG